Non-coding RNA from Triticum urartu, 111 nucleotides. NCBI's taxonomy places the organism in Eukaryota, Viridiplantae, Streptophyta, Magnoliopsida, Poales, Poaceae. The record is from Rfam.
UAUAUACUUCCUCCGUUCCAAAUUACUCGUCACAGAAAUGUAUCUAGAACUAAAAUACAUCUAGAUACAUCCAUACCUGCGACAAGUAAUUCAGAACGGAGGGAGUAUAUA